AGCGAACGCUGGCGGCAGGCUUAACACAUGCAAGUCGAGCGGGCACUUCGGUGUCAGCGGCAGACGGGUGAGUAACACGUGGGAACGUACCCUUUGGUUCGGAAUAACGCUGGGAAACUAGCGCUAAUACCGGAUACGCCCUUUUGGGGAAAGGCUUGCUGCCGAAGGAUCGGCCCGCGUCUGAUUAGCUAGUUGGUGGGGUAAUGGCCUACCAAGGCGACGAUCAGUAGCUGGUCUGAGAGGAUGAUCAGCCACACUGGGACUGAGACACGGCCCAGACUCCUACGGGAGGCAGCAGUGGGGAAUAUUGGAAAAUGGGCGCAAGCCUGAUCCAGCCAUGCCGCGUGAGUGAUGAAGGCCUUAGGGUUGUAAAGCUCUUUUGUCCGGGACGAUAAUGACGGUACCGGAAGAAUAAGCCCCGGCUAACUUCGUG
Molecule: ribosomal RNA, 433 nt
Filed under: uncultured bacterium
Lineage: Bacteria
Description: partial 16S ribosomal RNA
Rfam family: Bacterial small subunit ribosomal RNA
Source: RNAcentral